Non-coding RNA from Salmo salar (Atlantic salmon), 70 nucleotides. Lineage: Eukaryota; Metazoa; Chordata; Actinopteri; Salmoniformes; Salmonidae. The record is from Rfam.
CCCCAUGUAACUCAGUUGGUAGAGCGUGGUGCUUGUAAAACCAGGGUUGUGGGUUCGAUUCCCACGGGGA